CCCAGAUUCGCGAGCCCCUGUGCGCGGCGGCUGUGCCGAGUUAUCGAAGACGCAUCACCUUAACCCCUCCCUGCCCUCCCCACUUUAGCCGCUGCGGCUGGCGUGCCGGUGCGCGCGUGCGUCGUGCGAGCUUUGCUGAUGAUGCGUGAGGAGCGCUCCUCCCAUCCUCCAAAAGAGCAGAAUUAACCAACUGACGCUUUCACGGUGCCGUUGCCGCCGCGCCCCUCUGCUCCCCGGCUGCCCUCGCGGGCGGCGGUGCUGCUGAGCGGCCGCUGCGGCUGCGGUGCGUGCGUGAUGCCGAGCGGUGCUGAAUGGCAAAGACUCUGCGCUUGUGUGUGUGCGUGUACGCCGGGCAAGGCUUCCUCUCCGCUCCCCGCCGUGCGGCUGCCAGCAACCGAGAUGAAGCUGAUAUGGUCCGUGUUUCAGAUCCGCGUGACGCAAGUUUCUCUCCUAGUACAUAUCUUCUGAGUUGCUGCUGGCGGCGCGCGCGCAUGUGUAUCUGUGCGUGUGUGUGUGUGUGUGUGCGGCGCCUGCUGCCGAGCGCUGCCCCUCUAGAUCCCUGCUUUCGCUGCCCGCAGCACGGCGUUGUCGGUUGGGCGUGACUCCUUGCACCUCGUAGGUACGACCCUAUCUCGCAACCCCCAGAUUCGCGAGCCCCUGUGCGCGGCGGCUGCACGCGUUGUGUCUCGGUUGUCUGCUUUGGGACGUUUAAUGCUGGGGGGAACGUAGCGGAAGGUUUGUCCUCUCUACUGCGGAAUCAGUAAUGGACGCGUAAAGGUUAUGCCGUGUGUGGGUGUGCGUGUGUGUGUGUGUGAAAGGCUUCUAACCGGUCUGGAGCGGCACGCACAGGCGGCGGAAAGGUGGAAAGGAGACGUCGUGGUAAGUGGAGGGGUGGCAGCUGACUUGUCUGUUUCUCAUUCCAUGGCUUUUUCCCUCGUACAUUCGUGUGCUCCCAUGAGCCGGUGGCCGUAUUACGUCGGAGCUGUCUGCCGACGCUCCCCCCGUACCUCUCGCAUGAAUAUGCGCAUCUCACGUGCUUCUAUUACCUUCCCCCCUUUUCCCAUGCUUGCCGGUAAAG
This 1078-nucleotide unclassified non-coding RNA is filed under the name Leishmania donovani. RNAcentral's name for it is "gene:unknown". The stretch from base 581 to 649 matches the Rfam family "Trypanosomatid snoRNA TB10Cs2H1". Lineage: Eukaryota; Euglenozoa; Kinetoplastea; Trypanosomatida; Trypanosomatidae. The record is from RNAcentral.